Molecule: ribosomal RNA, 413 nt
Filed under: Micromonospora sp. 197
Lineage: Bacteria; Bacillati; Actinomycetota; Actinomycetes; Micromonosporales; Micromonosporaceae
Description: bacterial SSU rRNA
Rfam family: Bacterial small subunit ribosomal RNA
Source: RNAcentral
UCGGGGUACUCGAGCGGCGAACGGGUGAGUAACACGUGAGCAACCUGCCCUAGGCUUUGGGAUAACCCUCGGAAACGGGGGCUAAUACCGAAUAUGACCUCCGAUCGCAUGGUUGGUGGUGGAAAGUUUUUCGGCCUGGGAUGGGCUCGCGGCCUAUCAGCUUGUUGGUGGGGUGAUGGCCUACCAAGGCGACGACGGGUAGCCGGCCUGAGAGGGCGACCGGCCACACUGGGACUGAGACACGGCCCAGACUCCUACGGGAGGCAGCAGUGGGGAAUAUUGCACAAUGGGCGGAAGCCUGAUGCAGCGACGCCGCGUGAGGGAUGACGGCCUUCGGGUUGUAAACCUCUUUCAGCAGGGACGAAGCGAAAGUGACGGUACCUGCAGAAGAAGCGCCGGCCAACUACGUGCCA